Molecule: small nuclear RNA, 309 nt
Filed under: Microcebus murinus (gray mouse lemur)
Lineage: Eukaryota; Metazoa; Chordata; Mammalia; Primates; Cheirogaleidae
Description: 7SK RNA (ENSMICG00000025529.3)
Rfam family: 7SK RNA
About the family: 7SK was discovered as an abundant small nuclear RNA in the mid-70s but a possible function has only recently been suggested. Two independent studies have found that 7SK RNA binds the CDK9/cyclin T complex (known as elongation factor P-TEFb). P-TEFb activates transcription by phosphorylating the C-terminal domain of RNA polymerase II.
Source: Rfam by way of RNAcentral
AGAUGCUAGGUGAACUGAUGUCUAUCACCUCAUUGGUCACCAGACUCUAUUCUUUUUACUAACCUGAUUGGUCAAAUGGGUAUCUCUUUCCUCCUUCUCCAUACCAUGUGUGUCUUAUCUGAAACAGUUCACUCAAUCAAGAAAGAUUAUCUGUCUUCAUAGAAGAGGACUCUUCUCACAGAGGUAUAUGAGUUAAGACUUUCUCCUACUAGAAUUUCCAAAUAAGGUUUAAUAGAUCCAUAGCUGUUAUACCUACAGCAAUUAAACUUAAAAUAAUUCUGUAUUAGGUCAGUAAAAAAACCUGAAUGG